UACGUAGGGGGCAAGCGUUGUCCGGAAUUAUUGGGCGUAAAGAGCUCGUAGGCGGUGUGUCGCGUCGGUCGUGAAAACUUGGGGCUUAACCCUGAGCUUGCGGUCGAUACGGGCAUCACUGGAGUUCGGCAGGGGAGACUGGAAUUCCUGGUGUAGCGGUGAAAUGCGCAGAUAUCAGGAGGAACACCGGUGGCGAAGGCGGGUCUCUGGGCCGAUACUGACGCUGAGGAGCGAAAGCGUGGGGAGCGAACAGG
Molecule: ribosomal RNA, 254 nt
Filed under: uncultured bacterium
Lineage: Bacteria
Description: partial 16S ribosomal RNA
Rfam family: Bacterial small subunit ribosomal RNA
Source: RNAcentral